UCAUAACAAGCUGGAACAGGUGCAUUAUUUUGAGAAGAUAAUGCUUAAAAAGGGAAGUCGGUGCAAAUCCGAUACGGUCCCGCCACUGUGAUGGGGAAGGAUCUUAUGUAAUGCCACUGGGUGUUGACCUGGGAAGGACUAAGAUCUUGGUGAACCUAAGUCAGGAGACCUGCCUGUUUUAUUAAAAACAA
Molecule: non-coding RNA, 191 nt
Filed under: Desulfofarcimen acetoxidans
Lineage: Bacteria; Bacillati; Bacillota; Clostridia; Eubacteriales; Peptococcaceae
Also listed under: 1 other name
Source: RNAcentral